UAAUAAGUGUUUUAUGGCACUUUUUAAAUCCAUAUCCACCUUGUGUGCAAUGUCAGUCGAUCUUCUUCAUGGAGAUCGACCAAACAUCAACCUUUAUUUUUUAACUCUUUGUCUGAAAAAUAUUAUGAAUAAACAAUUCAAAUA
This 144-nucleotide unclassified non-coding RNA is filed under the name soil metagenome. Its description in RNAcentral is "partial internal transcribed spacer 1". The record is from RNAcentral.